UUCAGGAGGAAACAAAAUGAACGAAGUUCAUUUUUUUUAAAUGUUUCCGUCAAUUAGCUACCGACUAAAGGGCGGGCAAUAUAUAUU
The submitters of this non-coding RNA (87 nucleotides) gave its source as unclassified sequences. The record is from Rfam.